CCUACGGGCGGCAGCAGUGAGGAAUAUUGGUCAAUGGGCGCGAGCCUGAACCAGCCAAGUAGCGUGAAGGAUGACUGCCCUACGGGUUGUAAACUUCUUUUAUCAAGGAAUAAAGUGAGGCACGUGUGCCUUUUUGUAUGUCCUUUAUGAAUAAGGAUCGGCUAACUCCGUGCCAGCAGCCGCGGUAAUACGGAGGAUCCGAGCGUUAUCCGGAUUUAUUGGGUUUAAAGGUAGCGUAGAUGGGUUGUUGAGUAAGUUGUGAAAGUUUGCGGUUCAACCGGAAAAUUGCAAUUGAUACUGGCAGCCUUGAGUACAGUUGAGGUAGGCGGAAUUCGUGGUGUAGCGGUGAAAUGCGUAGAUAUUAGGAGGAACACCAGUUGCGAAGGCGGCUCUCUGGACUGUAACUGACACUGAGGCACGAAAGCGUGGGGAGCAAACAGGAUUAGAUACCCCAGUGGUC
RNAcentral lists this ribosomal RNA (460 nucleotides) under uncultured bacterium. RNAcentral's name for it is "partial 16S ribosomal RNA". It matches the Rfam family "Bacterial small subunit ribosomal RNA", at positions 338 to 795 of the family's 1533-position model. The record is from RNAcentral.